CCCCCCGAUAAGCGCAAAGAUAUCGUGCCGGAGGACCGAGAAUAGGAGUACUCUUACCACUCCAAAUUCCCAUUAUAGCUUAGGGUAGUGUGUAGACCGCUGAUUAUGUCGAGGGUUUGUUUUUGGAUUUGCACCCUUAGAAAUCGUAACAGACCCUUGACCGUUAGCGGAGUGACCAUGGGUGAAGGUACAGCUACUGAGAUGCCAUAGUACCUACCAAGGAGGCGAGCA
Molecule: non-coding RNA, 231 nt
Organism: Theobroma cacao (cacao)
Lineage: Eukaryota; Viridiplantae; Streptophyta; Magnoliopsida; Malvales; Malvaceae
Source: RefSeq, a predicted model, not a curated record